RNAcentral lists this ribosomal RNA (606 nucleotides) under Acinetobacter baumannii Naval-18. Its description in RNAcentral is "bacterial SSU rRNA". It matches the Rfam family "Bacterial small subunit ribosomal RNA", at positions 55 to 655 of the family's 1533-position model. Lineage: Bacteria; Pseudomonadati; Pseudomonadota; Gammaproteobacteria; Moraxellales; Moraxellaceae. The record is from RNAcentral.
AUGCAAGUCGAGCGGGGGAAGGUAGCUUGCUACCGGACCUAGCGGCGGACGGGUGAGUAAUGCUUAGGAAUCUGCCUAUUAGUGGGGGACAACAUCUCGAAAGGGAUGCUAAUACCGCAUACGUCCUACGGGAGAAAGCAGGGGAUCUUCGGACCUUGCGCUAAUAGAUGAGCCUAAGUCGGAUUAGCUAGUUGGUGGGGUAAAGGCCUACCAAGGCGACGAUCUGUAGCGGGUCUGAGAGGAUGAUCCGCCACACCGGGACUGAGACACGGCCCAGACUCCUACGGGAGGCAGCAGUGGGGAAUAUUGGACAAUGGGGGGAACCCUGAUCCAGCCAUGCCGCGUGUGUGAAGAAGGCCUUAUGGUUGUAAAGCACUUUAAGCGAGGAGGAGGCUACUUUAGUUAAUACCUAGAGAUAGUGGACGUUACUCGCAGAAUAAGCACCGGCUAACUCUGUGCCAGCAGCCGCGGUAAUACAGAGGGUGCGAGCGUUAAUCGGAUUUACUGGGCGUAAAGCGUGCGUAGGCGGCUUAUUAAGUCGGAUGUGAAAUCCCCGAGCUUAACUUGGGAAUUGCAUUCGAUACUGGUGAGCUAGAGUAUGGGAGA